UUGAGCCCUGCCCUCACGGGUAGACCUCCAACCCUGUGUAUUUAUACCUUUGUUGCUUCGGCAGGCCGUCUAGGUUUCGGCCUGGCUAUGGGCUUCGGCUCGUAAGCGCCUGCCAGAGGAAAUCAAACUCUGAAUUUUUGUAUCGUCUGAGUAAAACAUAAUAAGUUA
Molecule: unclassified non-coding RNA, 168 nt
Filed under: uncultured Polyporales
Lineage: Eukaryota; Fungi; Basidiomycota; Agaricomycetes; Polyporales
Description: sequence contains ITS1
Source: RNAcentral